GUCGAGCGCGCCCUUCGGGGUGAGCGGCGGACGGGUUAGUAACGCGUGGGAAUAUGCCCAAAGGUACGGAAUAGCCUCUGGAAACGGAGAGUAAUACCGUAUGUGCCCUUCGGGGGAAAGAUUUAUCGCCUUUGGAUUAGCCCGCGUUAGAUUAGGUAGUUGGUGGGGUAAUGGCCUACCAAGCCUACGAUCUAUAGCUGGUUUUAGAGGAUGAUCAGCAACACUGGGACUGAGACACGGCCCAGACUCCUACGGGAGGCAGCAGUGGGGAAUCUUGGACAAUGGGGGCAACCCUGAUCCAGCCAUGCCGCGUGAGUGAUGAAGGCCUUAGGGUCGUAAAGCUCUUUCGCCUGUGAAGAUAAUGACGGUAGCAGGUAAAGAAACCCCGGCUAACUCCGUGCCAGCAGCCGCGGUAAUACGGAGGGGGUUAGCGUUGUUCGGAAUUACUGGGCGUAAAGCGCACGUAGGCGGAUCGGAAAGUUGGGGGUGAAAUCCCGGGGCUCAACCCCGGAACUGCCUCCAAAACUAUCGGUCUAGAGUUCGAGAGAGGUGAGUGGAAUUCCGAGUGUAGAGGUGAAAUUCGUAGAUAUUCGGAGGAACACCAGUGGCGAAGGCGGCUCACUGGCUCGAUACUGACGCUGAGGUGCGAAAGUGUGGGGAGCAAACAGGAUUAGAUACCCUGGUAGUCCACACCGUAAACGAUGAAUGCCAGUCGUCGGGUAGCAUGCUAUUCGGUGACACACCUAACGGAUUAAGCAUUCC
RNAcentral lists this ribosomal RNA (762 nucleotides) under Rhodobacteraceae bacterium CUA-857. Its description in RNAcentral is "bacterial SSU rRNA". It matches the Rfam family "Bacterial small subunit ribosomal RNA", at positions 61 to 870 of the family's 1533-position model. The record is from RNAcentral. Lineage: Bacteria; Pseudomonadati; Pseudomonadota; Alphaproteobacteria; Rhodobacterales; Paracoccaceae.